This is a non-coding RNA of Vicia faba (fava bean), 255 nucleotides long. Lineage: Eukaryota; Viridiplantae; Streptophyta; Magnoliopsida; Fabales; Fabaceae. The record is from the annotation of a GenBank genome assembly.
AUGCCUUACAUUACACUAACCAUAUUCAGAGAAAAUCAAAUAAGUUCAGCUAGCCAAACUGCUCUGCGUGUUAAGGGAAAAAACCAGAAAAAUGAACUCCAAGCUUCAAGCACCUAUCCCAAAAUUCAAGCCACAAUAAAAGUCGCUCUAAUUCUCAAAUAUUUGUUGUCGCCUGCAUCCAGUAACUCAAACGAAAUCCAAAUAAACCUGCAGCCCCACAUCCAUCAAACAAUUCGCUACACAAAUCCAAAUUGA